This is a non-coding RNA of Dermacentor albipictus, 1447 nucleotides long. Lineage: Eukaryota; Metazoa; Arthropoda; Arachnida; Ixodida; Ixodidae. The record is from RefSeq and is a predicted model, not a curated record.
UUUGUUCUCUGCAAUCCGCGCACGCAGCUCAUCGGUGGAUGGACGUCUGCUCGGCGUCGCAAUGCGGCCUGCGUCAUUUUUUGGUGUUCGCGCAAUCGGUGUGAAGCAUGUCGCAUGUGAAAUGUUUGGUAGAAGUGCCUCACGUCCAAGUCAAGCCGCCGUACGGGUGUAUGGCUGUGCGCCCUGUUCUCGGAAGCGUCAACGGCUUUCCGGCAUGCGGAUUUCAGCGUUUGGACUCGACUUUUGGUGAGGCUGUCGAUCGACCUUGGGCCUGGUGACAGCACACCCGACAUCGCCAAAGUGCAGCCUAUCAGUUGAGUGCCCCCGAAUGGACCAUCAACAUCGGAAACUGAAGCAGAGCCAGGGGGAAAAAGCUCCGGUAACACCAUGCAUUCAGUAUGGUGGCCCAGACGUGUAUGCAAGCAACCUCCUUCAUGUGGACCAAGAACUACUCUGCAGUGUCUCACAGACUUCCAUGCGAAGCCCUCAACAUUCUCGUCUCAGUGGAAUGGCUGCCCAUCUGUCUGCGUGUCCAUCACCAAGACGGCUAGUUGUAAAGCUCCUGUACCCGUUUAGGAAAGCUUAAUGAUUUUUUUUAUUUAGUUUUCACGGUUGGCCGUAGAAUCUUAACAUUUUUGAUGUUUCUAACGUUUUUACCUGGCACAAAGUGGCGCAAUAACUUUAAACCAGUGUAAUGUAUUUAAGUGAUGCUCACUCUAAUGCCUAUCUGGUUUUGUUUGUGUUUAAGAAAUUUGAAUGUCUGAUGAGGUAACAGCAUUUAAAUUUGUCAUCGUGGCUUGUUUCAAUGAGCUGCUAGGAAAUCAGAUGCAAAACUUAUCACAUGCCAGUUGUAGCAUUUUUGUAUUCAUGACUAAAGUAUACACGUUUCAAAAGAUGGAAAGUGGGGAAAAAAAGCCUCAAGAACAUAAUCAUCCUAGGAUUGUCAUGUCCUUACAACUCUGCAAUGACUAAUGCCUCAUGCAUCUUGGGAGCACAAUGGUCGCAAUGCCUACAGGUAUACUUGAUAAGAGACUAGCUUGCAAAAAUUUAGUUGAGAGUUAGCGCUCAUCCUGUCUGCUUCUAGUCUGUGUCCAUGCCACUUCGCGCUACAAUCCAAGAUCAUGUUACUGUACCAACUCGCCCAACUUUUUAUCCUUGUGUUAAAGACACACUCAGACUUGUUCUUACUUAUGUGACCGGUUAUUUUUGUGCUUUAUAAUAAGAUGCAGUGCUUUUCGAAUGAAAACGUGAUAUUUAGUAGUGAGGUUAUUUAAAAAAACUGUUCUGCUUAAAAUUUAAUUGAGCAAGCCUGUGCCAUUAUUCGGUGCUUAUGUCUUUGUAUUGGUAUGGUUUUACUCAUCUUCCUUUUUACUUUUAAAAUGUGCAAACAUUAUUAUGUAACCAUUUCUCUUGAAUGAAAUAAAUACUUCUGACAUUUCGUCACAAA